RNAcentral lists this transfer RNA (77 nucleotides) under Omnitrophica WOR_2 bacterium GWC2_44_8. Its description in RNAcentral is "tRNA-His". It matches the Rfam family "tRNA". Rfam says of the family: Transfer RNA (tRNA) molecules are approximately 80 nucleotides in length. Their secondary structure includes four short double-helical elements and three loops (D, anti-codon, and T loops). Lineage: Bacteria; Pseudomonadati; Candidatus Omnitrophota. The record is from RNAcentral. RNAcentral also lists the same sequence under 3 other names.
GUGGGCGUAGCUCAAUUGGUUAGAGCAUCAGACUGUGGCUCUGAGGGUCGGGGGUUCAAGUCCCCUCGCCCACCCCA